Molecule: long non-coding RNA, 524 nt
Filed under: Gallus gallus (chicken)
Lineage: Eukaryota; Metazoa; Chordata; Aves; Galliformes; Phasianidae
Description: lncRNA (ENSGALG00010013665.1)
Source: RNAcentral
GCCGGAUCUGCCUCCUGCUCUUCCCAGAGCUGCUCUGUGUGCCUGCAGGGAGGGGGCUGAGGCUUUCCUGUCCCCGGGUGUUCCUCCAGGCAAAGUGCCAGAGGAAGAGGAGCAGCAUGGAGAGACUUCCAAAGAUAUGAGACAUGAGGCACAGUGACAGAAUCAUGAAAUGUUGUGAGCACCAUAAGCAAAGCAGGAUGGCCAUGGCUGAAGUCUCAGUGAAUUUCUCAUGUGUGGGACUCCUGUGUUACUGCAGCCCUGGAAAAUCCCCUUCUGCCAGUGUGCAUCCUUUCUACAUCACCACAGACUGCCCAGCAUGUUCCCCAGACCUCCAUCUAUUGAGAUGACCUGGCACAGCUAAAAGCCCUUAGCACACAAAAGCCGAGCCUUGGGAUCUGCGCUCCUUCAAAGAAUGCAAUACAUUAAGAGAAACCAGGAAUGUGCGCUAGGCCUGGGGAUGCUGCUUUGAAGAAAGAUUUCCUUCAAAACAGAGAUUCAAUUCACAGCAAGGGAGGCACCCUGGA